UUCAGUCAGAUACAGAGAGGAAAGCUAAUUUUAAAAAUCUCUAGUAGCAGUCCAUCCCCGAACUUAUCCACCUCUUACCACAAACUGAACCUGCUUGAACAAACUGUAAACAUCCCAGCGGGACUCACUAAUUGUGCACUUUUUUGUAACGCUCCGUGAUUUUUUAAUUGGUCUUAUUAGAUCAGGCAGUGAAGGGAGCAGAUUGCUGACAUUACUUUCAGUAAGGACUCCCCAGGAUGGCUGUGCGGCGGAGAGACACCCAGGGACCCAUCUGCAUACCCUCUAGUCUGCGUCACCAGGCAGAGUCACAUAACGAAACGCAAGGAGGGGAGCAGCAAAUACCAGGAAAGGUGCCAAUUAAAAAAAAAAAAACGCGGGGACUAAUUUGUAAGAGAAUCCACAGCCUAUUUUUUCUUCAGGAAUUAGACGAGCCCAUUGGACUGAUUCGGUUUAAAGUGUUUAACCCGAGUCAGGCCAAAGUUGCAGAAACCUCUUUCUGGCACGGACAGUAGUGUUCUACUUAUACCCUAAUGACCUUACACAUAUAUUUUGAUCCUGCCACUUAAAACUUCAGAGCCUUAUAUUUUUUAUGUGUUAUCUUGAGCUUGUAUUAAUUUACAGCUAUUUCUAUGAUAGAGACCUCUGGGAUUCCUGAAAAACUUUUCGUUAUCAAGAUCUAAGCAAUGCAGCGUCAAUGCCAUUGGAAAAUCCCCCAGACCUUGUUCAUUCUCUCCCUGGAUUAUCAAUGUGAUGUUCUUUCCCCUUUCGAGGAUCUGUUGAUCUUCUUACUUUAAGUGGUCUUCCUCCAUAGAACACUUUGAAAGCUUAGAAGCCUUCAGCGCUUCAGGUGCUGAAAUGUCAGUUUUGUGUGGGUGAAGGGAUUUAAGGAGUAAAUGGUGUGUUACUUGCAGGUACCUCUAUGCAGUAUGAGGGCAUAGUAAAGUAACAUGAAAAAUGUGCUUGUAGGAAACUCAAAACGCUCAGCAUUCCUCUUCUGAUUUUAGCCUGUGAGACGUAUCAUUAUGGUGCGUACAUGUUGUAUGCAGAUUUGACUUGAUGCUCUAUAUUGCACUAUACUAACUUCACUAACUUCCAAAACCAUCUAAUGUUUCCAAUGCAAAUAUUUAGAUUAGUACCCUGUUUUUUAAUCCUUUGCUUUAUGGCCAAAUAUCCUAACAUCUGUCGUUGCACAGAUAAGCUACAGCAACUCCUUGCCAUUAAAUGUAAUUAAACACUGAGAGUACCCUGUUUUUCUCCAUAGCUAGUAAGUGACUUGCUUCUGUACGGAAGGAACUUCCUCAGGAAGGAACUUCCUCAGCUGUUUCUUUCAUCUCCCACACUAAUUCUCUCCAGGGGUGUUAAAUCAUCAAGGGGGGCUCGACGAUAUCAGGCUCAAGGUACAAGCGAACCUGUCGCGCAACCAAAUGAACGCACUCUCAGGUUUAUGGUCCCAUCAGAGCGCAGGCUAACGCGCAUGCACAUGUGCAUGCACAUGCGUCAUUCUGCAUAAGACAAUGUAUCUCCUGAUCUCACCAGCUGCUAUCAGUUGAACUGUAGAUUGGACACUGAGAUAUUUCAGCUGCUUGCCAAGAAGGUCACCCAGACACAGUCUUCAAUGAAACAAUUAUCUAGAAGCAAUCUGAACGUCUGCAUCCCACCCAAGGCCUAGUUUGGUGUGAACCUCGCUUUUUGCCCAGAGAGCUGCAGGAAUACUAAAAGGACGAAGGGCAUCGCAGAGGUUUGAGGUUAUUCAGACGCUAAUUAACUGGACUCUGACCAGCUGCAGGGACGUGGCUCGAAGCGGUAGGGUGAUACGGCGGAUCGGUGAGACGAAGGUGGACCGUGGCUGAGGUCACACAAGUAAGAGCACAGAAGAGCAGAGAAGCAGAAGCCCAGAAGAGAACCUUGAAAAAAGAGCAGCACUGACAAGAGGCUCCGCUGAAUUCUAAUGGGAGUUCAAGCUACUUUGGUCCCUCCAAGGUUUGUGACCUUAGCACAGUGGUCGUUUCCCUGCCUCAAUUAUCAUGUCAUGCAGAUCUUCAGGCUACAACUACAUGCAAUUCAGUCCGUGUUUGAAUGAGGAAAGAGCAGAGGUGGAGAUUUCAGGCCCAGAGAGUUCAAAUCCAGACCAAGAUUUUUGUACACAACUGAUGGGUUGAAACAAAAUCUUGGUCUUGGUUUGUACUCUCUGGACCUGAAAUCUCCACCUCUGGGAAAGAGUUGUAUCCACAUCCUUGCCACAAAACUGAAUACAUUUGGAUUGGAUCUUGGCCUCCAUCAAGUGCACGGCUUGUCUUCACUCUUUUGUGAUUUUCACGGACAGGAUACAAGGCCGCAGCUGCAUCUGCGAGCAUGUCUGGUAUGGGAAGCUAGACGUGACAUUGCCGAUAUUUGCAGACAAUGUUGUGCGUUUGCCUUGUUUGACUAGUAUCUCCUGCAAGCACUUUGAUCCAAGCGUAAAGCAGCAAGGAUGAGAAACAGCACCUCCAAAUCCAAGGUCACUGUACUCUCUUGGAAAAGACUGAAUUGCUCCUUUCGUGGUUCGGGGGAGGCAGUCUGCCCUUAGUGAAGGAGUUUAAGUACCUUGGGAUCUUGUUCCUGAGUGAUAGUUAGAGGGAACAGGAGACUGACAGGUGGAUCGGUUUGGUAACUGUAGAGGUCUGUGGCAGUAAAGCAGCAAUUAAGUUGUAAGAUGAGACUCGGGAUUUACCGGCCAGUCUAUGUCCUAACCCUCAUCUAAGGUCAUGGGCUGUGGGUAAUAACCGAAAAAAAAAGUUGUAAGUGCAAACAGCUGGAAUAAAGUUUCUCUGCUGGAUUGCUGGAUACAAUCUACAUGACGGGGUGAGAAGGUCGGAGAUCUGGAGGGACCUUGAAAUAGAGCUACGACUCCUACGGGUAGAGAGAAAUCAGCUGAUGUGGUUCUGGAGUCUUAAAACGAUGCCACCUGGAUGGAUCCCACGGGAACUAUUCCAGGCAUGUCUCACUGGGUGAAGGCCGCGGGAAGACCCCAGAAAACGGGACACACAAACGUAUAUCUCCGCGGCGGCUUGAGGCAUUGAAAAAUACGCCUGGUCUAAUGUGCUCACCAUGCUGCCACUGCAACCCUCACGAAGAAAAGCAUCAGAAAAUGAUGAUGAUGAUGAUGAUGAUGAUGAUGAUGAUGUGGCAGAUGAUAACAAUUUGAUAUGCCAAUUAAAUUCAUCUUUCUUCUUUACCA
Molecule: long non-coding RNA, 3217 nt
Organism: Paramormyrops kingsleyae
Lineage: Eukaryota; Metazoa; Chordata; Actinopteri; Osteoglossiformes; Mormyridae
Source: RefSeq, a predicted model, not a curated record